Molecule: ribosomal RNA, 451 nt
Filed under: uncultured bacterium
Lineage: Bacteria
Description: bacterial SSU rRNA
Rfam family: Bacterial small subunit ribosomal RNA
Source: RNAcentral
CGCUGGCGGCGUGCCUAACACAUGCAAGUCGAACGGGGCACCUUCGGGUGCUUAGUGGCGAACGGGUGAGUAACGCGUGAGAAACCUGCCUUUCAGUGGGGGACAACAGUUGGAAACGACUGCUAAUACCGCAUGACACAUUCGGGCGGCAUCGCUUGAAUGUCAAAGAUUUUAUCGCUGAAAGAUGGCCUCGCGUCUGAUUAGCUAGUUGGUGAGGUAACGGCCCACCAAGGCGACGAUCAGUAGCCGGACUGAGAGGUUGACCGGCCACAUUGGGACUGAGAUACGGCCCAGACUCCUACGGGAGGCAGCAGUGGGGAAUAUUGGGCAAUGGACGCAAGUCUGACCCAGCAACGCCGCGUGAAGGAAGAAGGCUUUCGGGUUGUAAACUUCUUUUAAGUGGGAAGAGCAGAAGACGGUACCACUUGAAUAAGCCACGGCUAACUACGUG